RNAcentral lists this ribosomal RNA (433 nucleotides) under uncultured bacterium. RNAcentral describes it as "partial 16S ribosomal RNA". It matches the Rfam family "Bacterial small subunit ribosomal RNA", at positions 29 to 507 of the family's 1533-position model. The record is from RNAcentral.
AACGAACGCUGGCGGCAUGCCUAACACAUGCAAGUCGAACGAGACCUUCGGGUCUAGUGGCGCACGGGUGCGUAACGCGUGGGAACCUGCCCUUAGGUUCGGAAUAACUCCCCGAAAGGGGUGCUAAUACCGGUUAAUGUCUUCGGACCAAAGAUUUAUCGCCUUUGGAUGGGCCCGCGUUGGAUUAGCUAGUUGGUAGGGUAAAAGCCUACCAAGGCGACGAUCCAUAGCUGGUCUGAGAGGAUGAUCAGCCACAAUGGGACUGAGACACGGCCCAGACUCCUACGGGAGGCAGCAGUGGGGAAUAUUGGACAAUGGGCGAAAGCCUGAUCCAGCAAUGCCGCGUGAGUGAUGAAGGCCUUAGGGUUGUAAAGCUCUUUUACCCGGGAUGAUAAUGACAGUACCGGGAGAAUAAGCUCCGGCUAACUCCGUG